AAUAUUUGACAAGGGUCGAAAGGCUGAUCCAGCAUGGCCUCGUGUGUGAAGUUGGUCUUCUGUAUGUAAAGCACUUUACGUUGGGAGGAAGGGCAAUAGUUUAAUACCUUGCUGAUUUGACUAUACCGACAGAAUAAGCACUGGCUAACUUCGAGCCAUCAGCAGCGGUAAUACGAAGGGUGCAAGCGUUAAUCGGAAUUACUGGUCGUAAAGCGCGCGUAGGUGGUUUGUUAAGUUGGAAGUGAAAGCCCCGGGCUCAACCUGGGAACUGCUUUCAAAACUGGCAAGCUAGAGUAUGGCAGAGGGUGGUGGAAUUUCCUGUGUAGCGGUGAAAUGAGUAGAUAUAGGAAGGAACACCAGUGGCGAAGGCGACCACCUGGGCUAAUACUGACACUGAGGUGCGAAAGCGUGGGGAGCAAA
RNAcentral lists this ribosomal RNA (420 nucleotides) under uncultured bacterium. RNAcentral describes it as "partial 16S ribosomal RNA". It matches the Rfam family "Bacterial small subunit ribosomal RNA", at positions 360 to 772 of the family's 1533-position model. The record is from RNAcentral.